AGUGAACGCUGGCGGUAGGCCUAACACAUGCAAGUCGAACGGCAGCACAGUAAGAGCUUGCUCUUACGGGUGGCGAGUGGCGGACGGGUGAGGAAUACAUCGGAAUCUACUUUUUCGUGGGGGAUAACGUAGGGAAACUUACGCUAAUACCGCAUACGACCUACGGGUGAAAGCAGGGGAUCUUCGGACCUUGCGCGAUUGAAUGAGCCGAUGUCGGAUUAGCUAGUUGGCGGGGUAAAGGCCCACCAAGGCGACGAUCCGUAGCUGGUCUGAGAGGAUGAUCAGCCACACUGGAACUGAGACGCGGUCCAGACUCCUACGGGAGGCAGCAGUGGGGAAUAUUGGACAAUGGGCGCAAGCCUGAUCCAGCCAUACCGCGUGGGUGAAGAAGGCCUUCGGGUUGUAAAGCCCUUUUGUUGGGAAAGAAAAGCAGCACGUUAAUACCCCGCUGUUCUGACGGUACCCAAAGAAUAAGCACCGGCUAACUUCGUG
Molecule: ribosomal RNA, 492 nt
Filed under: uncultured bacterium
Lineage: Bacteria
Description: partial 16S ribosomal RNA
Rfam family: Bacterial small subunit ribosomal RNA
Source: RNAcentral